Molecule: long non-coding RNA, 268 nt
Filed under: Nicotiana benthamiana
Lineage: Eukaryota; Viridiplantae; Streptophyta; Magnoliopsida; Solanales; Solanaceae
Description: long non-coding RNA (NBEN_LNC031949)
Source: RNAcentral
AAGACUGGUGCGACAAUUGUAAUGCCAAGCCAAAAUCUGUUUAUUUUCUUCCUCAUCUUAGGCAUAGAUAGAAUUCGCUCGCCUGCGCUUGAAUGGCCUUUAUAGCCUUAAGGCGAUCUAUCCAACUAUCCAAAGCCUAACCCAAUACAGAUCUGAUCCUAAAUCGCUCUACGCUUUGAGCCGGCUAACUCUUUGAAGCCCACUGAUGCCUUUUGAAGACCUUCUUCCCUCUACCCUGAUGAAAAGAGUUCCAGUGAGCUCGCCAAGG